UACGUAGGGUGCGAGCGUUAAUCGGAAUUACUGGGCGUAAAGCGUGCGCAGGCGGUGAUGUAAGACAGAUGUGAAAUCCCCGGGCCCAACCUGGGAACUGCAUUUGUGACUGCAUCGCUGGAGUGCGGCAGAGGGGGAUGGAAUUCCGCGUGUAGCAGUGAAAUGCGUAGAUAUGCGGAGGAACACCGAUGGCGAAGGCAAUCCCCUGGGCCUGCACUGACGCUCAUGCACGAAAGCGUGGGGAGCAAACAGG
This 253-nucleotide ribosomal RNA is filed under the name uncultured bacterium. RNAcentral describes it as "partial 16S ribosomal RNA". It matches the Rfam family "Bacterial small subunit ribosomal RNA", at positions 524 to 776 of the family's 1533-position model. The record is from RNAcentral.